This 972-nucleotide long non-coding RNA is filed under the name Brassica rapa (field mustard). RNAcentral describes it as "long non-coding RNA (BRAP_LNC001795)". The record is from RNAcentral. Lineage: Eukaryota; Viridiplantae; Streptophyta; Magnoliopsida; Brassicales; Brassicaceae.
UUUUUCUAAUGAAAUUUUAGUUUGACCAAAAAAAACACUAAAGGAUCCAACUCUGCAAAUAGAUAAUUUAAAACAAAUUUGAGAGUAUAUGUAAAUGUGAAAACAUGGAUGCAUGUAUGAUGACAAGUGUGCAUGUGGGUGAAUGAAGAAGUAGAAUCUCGGGCACGGAGAAGGCGUGUCCGAUCAUUGAAAGCCGCCCACCAUUUUUAUUAUAUUUGGUUUCCAAGUACUGAUCUCUGCUCAAUUUGUAGAUAUUUUGUUUCGUGAACUAACUCCCUCUUUGCUCUCUUUCUCAACCUCAAUUUGUUUUGAUUAGUUUCCUUAAAAAUUAAUGCUUAUUUUAAAAGGCAAUAUAUUUCACCGUUUAUACACUCUUUUAGAGGUUGAUUGGUUAGUGUUUUGGCUGCUGUGGACAUCAAAAAAUAUUUCUACAGCCACAAUAUUUAACAAUCAAGCUUUGCUUUGAUUUUUGAAACCUACAGCUUUCGUUUCUUUUUUUUUUUUUCUUUUUGGCUGUAGACACUAAUAUUUUUGAAAAUAACAGUGCUUUAGAAAUUUAUUAAUAAAUUUACGAGUUUUAUAACAUACAAAAUCACAGCAAAAAUCUUAUAGUUAUAUCAAAAAAAUACACAGCAUAAAUUCUACAGUAAAAAACUAAAAUCACAGCUGCAACCAAUCAGACCAUUAGUCUUUCGUUUUUUUUUUGAUUAGUAAUUAAUAAUUAUCAACCCCAACCCAUGACUUCUUAAUUGAGAGCACAUGAAGAAUAUAAUCAAUGUUUCGUCAUAUCAUACCAUAUGAAAUAAAUUCUUGCAAUCGAUUUUUUCAUUAGUGAUUUUUUUUUUUGCAUAAAAUAGUGAAUUUAAGAAAUAAAUAUAGCAAGACAAAACCGUACGAAUAUUAGGAGCAUGUCAUAGUCUCCUUAAUAUAUAUCCGUAUAUAUAUGAAGCUGAAAAGCAUCUUGGAUCCGUG